RNAcentral lists this ribosomal RNA (1341 nucleotides) under uncultured bacterium. RNAcentral describes it as "bacterial SSU rRNA". It matches the Rfam family "Bacterial small subunit ribosomal RNA", at positions 28 to 1363 of the family's 1533-position model. The record is from RNAcentral.
GAUGAACGCUAGCUACAGGCUUAACACAUGCAAGUCGAGGGGCAGCAUUUUAGUUUGCUUGCAAACUAAAGAUGGCGACCGGCGCACGGGUGAGUAACACGUAUCCAACCUGCCGAUAACUCGGGGAUAGCCUUUCGAAAGAAAGAUUAAUAUCCGAUAGUAUAUUAAAACCGCAUGGUUUUACUAUUAAAGAAUUUCGGUUAUCGAUGGGGAUGCGUUCCAUUAGUUUGUUGGCGGGGUAACGGCCCACCAAGACUACGAUGGAUAGGGGUUCUGAGAGGAAGGUCCCCCACAUUGGAACUGAGACACGGUCCAAACUCCUACGGGAGGCAGCAGUGAGGAAUAUUGGUCAAUGGACGAGAGUCUGAACCAGCCAAGUAGCGUGAAGGAUGACUGCCCUAUGGGUUGUAAACUUCUUUUAUAUGGGAAUAAAGUAUUCCACGUGUGGGAUUUUGUAUGUACCAUAUGAAUAAGGAUCGGCUAACUCCGUGCCAGCAGCCGCGGUAAUACGGAGGAUCCGAGCGUUAUCCGGAUUUAUUGGGUUUAAAGGGAGCGUAGGUGGAUUGUUAAGUCAGUUGUGAAAGUUUGCGGCUCAACCGUAAAAUUGCAGUUGAAACUGGCAGUCUUGAGUACAGUAGAGGUGGGCGGAAUUCGUGGUGUAGCGGUGAAAUGCUUAGAUAUCACGAAGAACUCCGAUUGCGAAGGCAGCUCACUAGACUGCAACUGACACUGAUGCUCGAAAGUGUGGGUAUCAAACAGGAUUAGAUACCCUGGUAGUCCACACAGUAAACGAUGAAUACUCGCUGUUUGCGAUAUACAGUAAGCGGCCAAGCGAAAGCAUUAAGUAUUCCACCUGGGGAGUACGCCGGCAACGGUGAAACUCAAAGGAAUUGACGGGGGCCCGCACAAGCGGAGGAACAUGUGGUUUAAUUCGAUGAUACGCGAGGAACCUUACCCGGGCUUAAAUUGCAUUUGAAUAAUCUGGAAACAGGUUAGCCGCAAGGCAAAUGUGAAGGUGCUGCAUGGUUGUCGUCAGCUCGUGCCGUGAGGUGUCGGCUUAAGUGCCAUAACGAGCGCAACCCUUAUCUUUAGUUACUAACAGGUUAUGCUGAGGACUCUAGAGAGACUGCCGUCGUAAGAUGUGAGGAAGGUGGGGAGGACGUCAAAUCAGCACGGCCCUUACGUCCGGGGCUACACACGUGUUACAAUGGGGGGUACAGAAGGCAGCUACCUGGCGACAGGAUGCUAAUCCCAAAAACCUCUCUCAGUUCGGAUCGAAGUCUGCAACCCGACUUCGUGAAGCUGGAUUCGCUAGUAAUCGCGCAUCAGCCAUGGCGCGGU